This 341-nucleotide unclassified non-coding RNA is filed under the name Hevea brasiliensis (rubber tree). The record is from RNAcentral. Lineage: Eukaryota; Viridiplantae; Streptophyta; Magnoliopsida; Malpighiales; Euphorbiaceae.
UAAAAAAUAAUUACAUAAAUCUUUUCUAAAAUCCCUAUUGACAGGAGAUUUCAAAUGCAAGAGGUUAUAGUCUCUUAGUUGAUUUUUAAUAAUUGACUCCUCUUUUUUAAACUUUUUCACUUCACUUUUCUAUUUUAAUCAUAUAUUUUUUAUUGUUCAAAAUAUUUUUUGAAAUAAUAGCUAUAUUUUGUGCAAGUGUGAUUAUUAUGGCAAACUUCAUUGUGUAAGUACAUAUUUAUAUGAUAAAUUUAAACUAGGGAUAUUUUGGUAAUCUACUUCACUUUAUUUUACUUUCUCACAACCUAAUCAAACUUAAGAAUUAUACAUUCCAAUGGAAAUUG